This is a long non-coding RNA of Cornus florida, 2332 nucleotides long. RefSeq lists it as uncharacterized. The record is from RefSeq and is a predicted model, not a curated record. The transcript has 2 exons. NCBI's taxonomy places the organism in Eukaryota, Viridiplantae, Streptophyta, Magnoliopsida, Cornales, Cornaceae.
GUUCUCUCUUAUCUUUCAUCUCAAAAUGUUGGCGGAAUAUUUAUCUCCGUAUGUGGAUAAGUAAUUGUGAUGAAAAAUCAGCUGGGAAUUUUGGGAUUUGAGGAUUUUACUAAAUUAAUUUGAUGCAAUUUAUUGAUUUUCUUGAAGCCCUAGGUUUAAUUAGAGUUCUAUUAUGUUUUAUGUUUGUGAAUUAAUGAAAAAGGUUUCGUGAUUUAAAGGAGAGGAAGAGGAGACGUUGAAGAUAUGGGUUAUAAAGACUAUUGCUGAGAUAAUGAAGCUCAGAAAUGUGCACUCAAGGUGCUUGUAAAAUUGUCUGAACCAAAUCUCCAGCUGUUCUACUAGAAUUUUUUGAAGUAAAAUGCCCCCAAAUCGUGCUAGGACCACCUCCUCACCAUGAUCCUACUUUUUUCUUGCCAUUGACAAUUAUUUCCAGUGGAAUGGUUUGGAUUUAAAUAUACAUGCACACAAAUCACAAAUAUACAUGAACAUAUGUAGAAGUACAAGUAAUCAUUAGCUCCUCUUUCCCUUCUUCCAUUUGACUGAGUUGUUAAAUUUUAAUUAAUUGAGUUCAAAUUAUUGUUCAUAUUUAUUGGCAUAUACUUUGUAGAUACUAAUGUCUAUAGCACUUGUCUGUAUACUUUGUUGAUCCAAUCUCUGAAUUUUCCAUAGCUGAUAGCCGUAAGUACCUAUUCUAUAACUACUUCUCUCUCUCUCUCUCUCUCAAUUUCUGUCUCUCUCUAUAGUCUAUAAAUUAUAUAUUUAUAUGUCAGAAACCAAUUGAAGGAUUAUUGGGUGAAUUUGUAGAUGAAGCGUGCAAAGAGAUACUGAUUGUUCCCCUAUUUAUCCCUACUUAUUUAUUAUCAGGUUGAUACUUCCUUUUUUCUAUGAAAAACAAUUUAAUAUAAGGUUACGAUAAAACCAAUUCCUUGUUUAUUAUCAUGGUGGGUUGACUAACUUGUUUAUAAUCAUGUGUAUGCUUGCUGAAGCAGAAGUUUAUUAUCAUGUCUAUCUAGAUUGUCACCAGGUGGUGCUUGAAAGUUUAUUAAUCUCUGUAGAGGCAGCUAUUGUGAUGUUAAAGCUAGCAUGCUGGGUAAGUUCACCUUUUACACUGUUCACAUUAGGAUGUUCAAAUUAACCAUAUUAAUUUAUUGUGCUUUUCCAAAUUUUCCCUUUCCUAUAUAAUGAGUAAUAUUAUAUAGUAAUUGCUUUAUUCAUAAACAUGAAUUUCAAUAGAGUGAGUACCUACAGUUUAAAUUUCACUCGUUGUCAUUAAAAAAAGGGUCAAGUCUCAAUUAAGUAAACCUUUUUGCAUCUCUCUCUCGCACAAAAAUGCGUAGUGGGUUCUCACAAUGUGUAAUCACAAUUUGAUAACCUACAUUACUAUGUUUAAUUAAUGGGACAUGGCCACACCUUUAACAAGAAAGUAGUGCAUAUUGGAACCUUGUUGAAUUGAUGAUUCUGUUUUACUGGUUACCAUGUGAUAAAAGGAUUUGAUUUUCAAGUACUUAUUUUCUUUUAUUUAUGUCUUUAUUUUUCCGGAGCAACAAAAUUAAUGAUUUCAGUUUACAACAAAGGUUAGAGUUUUCUUCUUUUUCAUUGCUAUUUGGUGGGAAAUUACGAUUUACAUGUUUGGUUUUUUAAGAAAGUGAGAAUGAAAUAUAAAAUAACUUAAGAUGUGCUUGGUAAGAUAUAUAUAUAUUUUUUAUAUUUUAUCUCCACUAUCAUGUUUAAUCCACAUGGUAGUCCUUGGCAAUGCAUUCUAUGCUUAAAAAGUUAAAUAUUUUUUCCGUUGCAAAUUGUGUGUUGUGCCUACCCUAUGAACUUGUGUGUUUAGCUUGUUGUAAUGUAAUGCAUUCACAAGUUGUAUCCCGUUACUUGGAUUUUCUUUCUUCUCUUUUCUCUGUUUUUGUUUCCUCUUUUUGUCUUUUGUGGUUUGAUUGUUGUUGCAGGUGGAGGAAAGAUCAUCAAACCCUGCCAAAUGGGUACCAAGAAUUCUUCUUCCAAAAGAAAAACCUUCAAGAUCCCCUCUGAGAUUUUUGGAUGGGUUCAUGCUACAAGACUUUAAACUCUUUUUGUUUAAGAUGGUUUAAGUAGUGCAUGUCCAGGUCUUUGAACCCUUUGUUUAGGAAUCUAUUGCUUAUUUUUGUCUAAGAUCUUGAAACAUUUUAUUUAAGAUACUAACUUGUUUUGGUCCAAAUUAUUGGAGUUUGAAAUUAUUUUAGAUGCGAAGACUCAAUUUUUUACUUGAUGGGCUUUAUUAUGUAUGUUGUAAACAAUACAUUUUUUGGUUGGUGUAACUUACGCAAUAUCAAGUAUUUAUUUGUUUGCAUAA